This 285-nucleotide unclassified non-coding RNA is filed under the name Zea mays. Its description in RNAcentral is "misc RNA Zm00001eb132110". Lineage: Eukaryota; Viridiplantae; Streptophyta; Magnoliopsida; Poales; Poaceae. The record is from RNAcentral.
CUGCUGCAGGAACUCGACGACGCGUGGCUUGCUGCGCAUUUCGUCGAGCACACAGCGGGCGUCAACGGCGCACUGCUCAGCAGCAGAGAGGAGGCAUCGGCAGAGGGCUCACGGCCAUGGGCAAAUGCGAGCUCGCUGCAAUCCAUGGACAGGGAGCCAACCGCGCUGCGUGGAAGAGGAACAGGGAGGGCGUGGCUGGAGGAAAGGGGCGAGCUGCUUGUGGCCAUGGGGGAGAAGAAAGGGCGCCGUCGAGGGAGCUUCAACAGUGGAGCGCUCGGCUGCUAG